GAUGAAGAACGUAGCGAAAUGCGAUAAGUAAUGUGAAUUGCAGAAUCCAGUGAAUCAUCGAAUCUUUGAACGCACAUUGCGCCCGCCAGCAUUCUGGCGGGCAUGCCUGUUCGAGCGUCAUUUCAACCCUCGACCUCCCCUUGGGGAGGUCGGCGUUGGGGACCUGCAGCACACCGCCGGCCCUGAAAUGGAGUGGCGGCCCGUCUGCGGCGACCUCUGCGUAGUAAUACAGCUCGCACCGGAACCCCGACGCGGCCACGCCGUAAAACACCCAACUUCUGAACGUUGACCUCGAAUCAGGUAGGACUACCCGCUGAACUUAAGCAUAUCAAUAAGCGGAGGA
This 343-nucleotide unclassified non-coding RNA is filed under the name soil metagenome. RNAcentral's name for it is "partial contains 5.8S ribosomal RNA, internal transcribed spacer 2, and large subunit ribosomal RNA". The stretch from base 1 to 120 matches the Rfam family "5.8S ribosomal RNA", at positions 35 to 154 of the family's 154-position model. The record is from RNAcentral.